Molecule: ribosomal RNA, 483 nt
Filed under: uncultured bacterium
Lineage: Bacteria
Description: bacterial SSU rRNA
Rfam family: Bacterial small subunit ribosomal RNA
Source: RNAcentral
GAUGAACGCUAGCGGCAGGCUUAACACAUGCAAGUCGAGGGGCAACACGGGUAGCAAUACCUGGUGGCGACCGGCGCAAGGGUGCGUAACGCGUGAGCAACAUACCCUAUACAGGGGGAUAAUCCAGGGAAACUUGGUCUAAUAUCCCAUAGGAUUUACAGAUGUCAUCAUCUAUAAAUUAAAGCUUCGGUGGUAUAGGAUUGGCUCGCGUGACAUUAGCUAGAUGGUGGGGUAACGGCCUACCAUGGCCAUGACUGUCUAGGGGUUCUGAGAGGAAGACCCCCCACACUGGGACUGAGACACGGCCCAGACUCCUACGGGAGGCAGCAGUGAGGAAUAUUGGACAAUGGAUGGAAAUCUGAUCCAGCCAUGCCGCGUGCAGGAAGACGGCCCUAUGGGUUGUAAACUGCUUUUAUAUGGGAGCAAUAAGGUCUACGCGUAGACCGAUGAGAGUACCAUAUGAAUAAGCAUCGGCUAACUCCG